AACAAGGUCACUUGAUGGAAUAAAUGAGUUUAACCUCAUAAAUGUUGACAAAAUCCUCAUGAAUUUAAAAGUUUGGCUUAGUGGUGCGGUUACAUACCAAGAUACUUGCUUGGAUGGGUUUGAGAACACCACUAGUGAUGCUGGCAAAAAGAUGAAGGAUUUGUUGACGAUAGGCAUGCAUAUGAGCAGCAAUGCCCUUGCCAUUGUAACAGGUUUGGCUGACACUGUUAAUGAUUGGAAUAUCACAAAAUCAUUUGGGCGUCGCCUCCUUCAAGAUUCUGAGCUUCCGUCAUGGGUUGAUCAACAUAGACUCCUUAAUGAAAAUGCAAGUCCAUUCAAACGCAAGCCUAAUGUUACUGUAGCCAUAGAUGAUAGUGGAGAUUUCAAAAGCAUCAAUGAGGCAUUGAAGCAAGUGCCUGAGAAAAACCGAAAGCCAUUUGUGAUCUACAUCAAGGAGGGCGUUUACCAAGAGUAUGUUGAAGUUACAAAAAAAAUGACCCAUGUGGUGUUUAUUGGUGAAGGGGGGAAAAAGACACGAAUAUCUGGUAACAAAAACUUCAUAGAUGGAACGAACACUUAUAGAACUGCCACUGUCGGUAUGUCUCUUUUCGUGAUUAUCAACUUAAUUAACUUACUACUCCUAUGCAUUUGAGUAAAAAAAAAACUUAAUAACUUAUCCAAUAAAUUUAUUAAAUAUCAUAUGUCAUGUUCUUCAACUUGAAUAAACUCUUUGAAAAGUCCUUUCCUUACUUAACAUUUUAAGGUCCAUAGUUUUUAUUUGAAAACACCUUUAACCCGCCCCAAAAUGAAUAAAUUAAUAAAAGAUACAUUUACAAAAUUUAAAAAAUAAAAAUAUAAACCAUUUUCAAUUCAAGGGAAAUUUUUCAUUCGAAUAAAUAAAUUAACUACUUUACGCAUGCAGCUAUUCAAGGAGAUCACUUUGUGGCCAUCAAUAUGGGGUUUGAGAAUUCUGCUGGACCUCAUAAGCAUCAAGCGGUGGCAUUGAGAGUCCAAGCAGACAAGUCCAUCUUUUACAAUUGCUCAAUGGAUGGGUAUCAAGACACACUUUAUGCACACACCAUGCGUCAAUUCUAUUUUUCAUUCGAAUAAAUAAAUUAACUACUUUACGCAUGCAGCUAUUCAAGGAGAUCACUUUGUGGCCAUCAAUAUGGGGUUUGAGAAUUCUGCUGGACCUCAUAAGCAUCAAGCGGUGGCAUUGAGAGUCCAAGCAGACAAGUCCAUCUUUUACAAUUGCUCAAUGGAUGGGUAUCAAGACACACUUUAUGCACACACCAUGCGUCAAUUCUAUAGAGAUUGCACCAUUUCAGGUACCAUCGACUUUGUGUUCGGUAAUGCACUAGCUGUUUUUCAAAAUUGCACUUUCGUGGUCCGAAAGCCAAUGGAGAACCAACAAUGCAUUGUGACUGCACAAGGUAGAAAAGAGAUACAACAACCAUCUGGAAUAGUAAUCCAAGGGGGAUCCAUUGUGUCUGAUCCUGAAUUCUACUCAGUGAGAUUUGAGAACAAGGCUUACCUAGCUCGUCCAUGGAAGAAUUACUCUAGGACCAUUAUCAUGGACACAUACAUUGAUGAUUUGAUUGACGCGGAUGGGUAUUUGCCAUGGCAAGGACUAGAGGGUCCUUCUGGUAUGGAUACUUGCUUCUAUGCCGAGUACCACAACAUUGGCCCUGGUUCAGACAAAUCCAAGCGUGUGAAAUGGGCUGGGAUUUGGAACCUCAAUUCAAAAGCAGCACGUUGGUUCUCACCAUCUAAGUUUUUUCAUGGAACUGAUUGGAUUGAGGUUACUGGAAUUCCUUACUUUCCUGGCGUGCCGAAACACCAUAGGCACAAAAAGACAAUACUUAAUUGGCAAUAAAAGUAAUGAGUUGCGAAAGCAAGCAAUAUAAAUUAAUUAAAAAGUAAUGAUUGUGCUUCUUUAUUCUUUAAUUAUUUUUAUUUCAUUACUUAACUUUAGAGUUAGCUACAUUUUUUUAUCUCAAGGAAUUGAAAUCAAUGUAGCACAAUUCCUCUCUUGAUAACUUUUUGUUUAGUGGAUAAUAAAUGGGUCUUCUAUAUAUUCUUAAUUACAUUUGCAUCUAAUUUGAUUUUUACGUAAGUAAAGUGAUUUGUUGCUAUGUACUUUUAAUUGUUACAUUUGGCCUUUUCUUUUUCAACCAUCAUUUAUCAAAAUAAAAUUAUGAUGAAGCAUUUACAUAUUGGUGAAUUUAAUCAACACGACUACUUAAAUUUAACUCAUUGAAUGUGCUGUUUAAGUUUUAUUAAUCUUGUCACAAGUCUUUAUUGUAUUCUAUAUAGAUAAAAAAAUAAGUAAAAAAAAAUGACAAGGAUAAAAAAUAAUAUUUCAAACAAAUAAUUAAUGAUAUUUUAUUAUAAAUGAAGUAUAUCCGUAUCAAAGCCAUUAGAUUUGAACCUUAGUGUGAUCAUUGUACAUAAAAAAAAAAUAUCAAUGUGUCAUAUUAUUUUAUGACAACAUUGUUUGUGCAAGCUACAUUAUUAUUAAGAAAUUAUAUAUAUAUAGGUUUCAAGGACAUUAAGCUUAAGCUUACCUACAUCUAUAAAACAUUUUCCUCUUGACUUGUCCAUCAAUACAAUUUAAAUUUUUAUUAAUUUAACCAAUAAAAAAAUACAUUAAAAAGGUAUUUCUAGCACUACUCUUAAAUACAAUGACAAGGAAAGAAACCAAGUUACUCAAGUUGUUAUUCGCUAGGUAGGUAAUAUUACAUCCCAUUUAGAAGAGAAAUUUUAGCAAAGAUAUUGUUAAUACUAUUAUUAACUGAAAUUUUUUAGAAAUUAUAAAAUUAUUUAAUUUUUGUUAAAUUACAAUUUUUCUUACCUUCAUUUUCCAAAUUCAUGAUUUUGGUCCUCCUGAUUUUUAAUUUUAAAAUUUGAUCUUCCAAAUUUUGUAAAUUUAUAAUUUUGGUCAUCCUUAUAGAAUAUUAAACUAAUAAUUAUGAUUAACAGAUUUAUUAAAUUAACUAUAAAUUAAAUAAAAAUUAUUAAUCAUUAAAAAAUCUUAACAAAUGAUUAUUAAUUCUAAUGAUAUUGUUGCUAGUGGAUUCCUAUGUGAUGAUAGAGGUGAAAGAAGUAUUUACAGAAAAAAGUAAGGACACUCUCUUGUGAAGGAUCAAGGUUAAUAAUUUUUAUUAAAAUUUUAAUAGUUAGUGGGUUUUAAUUAAUUUAUAAUUAAAUUAAUAACAGUUUAAUCAAAAUUAUUUAUUAAUAAUCUAUCAGUGGAACAAAAAUCAUCAAUUUAUAAAAAUAAGAAAAUCAAAUGUUAUAAUUAAAAAUCAAGAGGACCAAAAGCAUAGAUUAAAAAAAUAGAAGGACAAAAAUUAUAAUUUAACCUUUAAUUUUUAUUAUUUAUUUAAUAAAUCUCAUUAUUGAUUUUUAAACUUUUAAUGAAUUUAAAAUAGAAGGAAUAAAACUCUCUCUUAUUUAAGUUUUAAAAUUUAAAAUUAUAAAAAUAAGAAAAUAAUUUUUUUUAAAUUUCUUUGCUUUCCUUCUUAAUUAAAUAAAACAUUUAAUUAAAAUAUUUUUUUUCUCUCUUCAGUUUAGAUCACUCACAUUCCUUCCUGAAAUAUUCAUUCACCAAGAAACUCAAUAUAUUUUAUUUGGAUUUCCAAGACAAUUUUCUCUUGUUUGAAACGAUAAAAAUUUAAGGAAAGAAAACUCAACACAAAUCUCACCUCGAAAUGUUUUCCAGCUCCCCAUCAUGCCAAAAUAUCCUGACAGGUAGCGACUAAGGGCAUAUUGUGAGGAAAAUAGUUUCACGUGUUGGUUUCACCUCCACUCAAAAGAUAACUACAUAAAAUACAAGUUUUCUAUAAGAAUGAUUUAGUGAGAGAAUUUAAAGAUAAAGGGUGAAGGAGAAAAGAAGAAGAGAUUGUAAUGGUAAAUCUCUUAUCAACAUUUUUAAUAAAAACUAACAAAUGAACAUCUGUUGAUAAAAAAAUCAUAAACUACAAUUGUCUCUUGUAUUCUUUCUUAUUAUUAAAAGGAGAAGGAAAAAAAAUAAAAAAUAAAAACUCAUUUAUUUGUAAUUUCCUUUAUAACUAAUGAUGAAGGCUGAGAUGUACUCUAAGAGAUAGAAAGAGAACAUAGUGUAGAGAAAAGAUGAGAAAAUUAUAUACGAGUUAUUAUUCUUUCUUGAAAUAAAUUUAUAUUUAUAAUUUUUCCUGUUUCAUAAAAGUGAGCAUUACUUAUUUAGCUCUUUUAAAUGAUAUAUUUAUGUUUGACUGUGAAAUGUCUUGCUUAAACCAUCAAAGAUCAAAUAUGAAAGAUGAUCAAUUUGAAAGGAAAAAAACAUGAAAAAUAUUAAAGAAUUUAACUGAAUAACUUAAGAUGAUACAUAAAUUAUUGUGAACUCUCACAUUAUCUAUCUUAGAUUUAAAAAAAAACAAACCUGAAAAAACUAUAUUUUAAAAAAAUUCAAAGGGAUACAAGUCAAGAAAAAUGAUAUUACUAAGAUAUAGCAUUAGAAUUAUGAAAUUUUAAGUAUUACAUUACAAUUUAAAUCGUAUGUAUUGCUAACCAAAUUAACCUCAAAUGUCAUGCACCUAACCAAAUUAACCUUCUAUAAAUCUAUGUACAAACAUAAUUUUUCACUUAUCACCUCUCGACCAUAUUCUAACAGCACCUAACCUUCGAAAUCCACAUAUUUUGACUCUUUCAACGUCACCUUCUCCAUUUGAUUAUUCAAAUUUACCAUAUCAAUAACAACUCAACUCCCCUUCCCACCUCAAUUUUCAUAUUCCAUCUAAUGCAAAAUCAAUCAUAAUUUUGUGUCAAAGAUAUAAGGUGAAUUGAAUGAUUAAAGAAAAACUAAAGAGAAAAAAGUCACAAAUUUAAUCUCUUUUAUUAACAGUAGUAACAAUAAAUAUUUAUAUUUUAAAAAAACAUAGUUUUGUCUGGAAAAUGCCUAGUGAUGAACUGAUGAUGCACUCAAGUACUAAAUUGACAUACAUCAUUUCCUCUCCACGAUUGACACGUUGGUUUUCCGCUCCAAGGAAAAAAAGACUUGAAUGUAAUUAGAUUAUAUCUCUCUCCUUAAGUUGUAACAACAGUUACAACAUUUCCAUGGUUCCACCUAUUUCUUGAGGUGUGUGGAUUAUCUCCUGCCAUCUUGCCUCUCCAACAAGAAAAACAAAGAGAGGAGAGGGCAUAGAAUAGAAAAGAGAGAGAUAAGUUGAAAGAUAAAAAAAAAAACAAUAGAAAAGGAAGAGAAAGAUAGAGAUGUUGAAGAAGGUCGGAGAGGAUCUGAAUAUUUACUCAAGCUAAGCUUGUAGUAUCUAAUAACAUUAUUGUUUGUAUUUUAAAAAACUCAGGAUAUUUAUUUUUCAUAAAUUAAUAACUAAUUCUUUGAAGUAUUGAAAUGAUUUAAAAGACCAACCUUUUCUUAUAGAUUUUUUUUUACUCCUAAUAGAUAUCAAGAAUGACAAGGCUUAAUCAAAUUUGUUUGAUAAAUAAAAAUGAGAGACACAAGAACAACUUUAAAUAAUUUGAAACUAACAAAGUAUGACUGCAUUAAAAUAAUAAAAUGUAUACUAAAAAUAAUAAGAUAUAAUUUUGGCCAUAAAAUCAUGAAAACAAUAACUGAGUAUUGUAUUUUUAUAAUAUAUAAUAUAUAAUUAUAUAAAUAUGAGUAUUGUAAUUUUAUAACUAUGGACAAAGAUAUGCACUAUUUAUCUAUUGAUUUUCACAAACAAUAAAUAAAUAGUGCGUAUCUUUGUCCACAGUGAAGUUUUUCUUCUGUGUACUUUGAUUCCGGAGAAGAUGAGAAAAAGAAGAUUUUAAUUUGCUUUCUUGACUAUUCUUUGUCCCUGUAUGUUUGUGAUCCUAUGAGUCAUAUGGAUUGACAAUUCAUAUGAUUCAUACGGGUCAACAAUUCGUAUGAGUUUUAAAAAAAUUCAUACAGGUCACCAAUCCGUAUAACUUAUACAGAUCGUCAAUCCAUAUGAAUCAUACGGAUCACCAACUCCUUUCACCCGUGUUGCUGGAUGUUCCAACAAAAAUGUUGGGUGACCAAAACAACUACCUUUUUACUGGUUGGUACUUUUCCAGGGUCGCUAGCAACAUGUGAUGCAACUUGGACUGUUACUUUCUCCAUCUCCAACUAUUUCAUGUAGGCUCUGGCUAUUACACCUACGUAUUUCCUAAGUACACCCCUGUACCCCCUAUGCCUCUCAAUUACCCUUUAUACUCUUUUUCUUAAAAGCAUAUGUCCCUUUUGCUUUCAGAAAUGUAUUUAUGGAAUUACACAUUCAUAUUCUGGAAAUGUAUCUUCGAAACUAUGAUUCAUAGUUCCAAAGAUAUACUUCUAGAAUUGGUAUAUAUUUUUUUAAUAAAAUAUCAUUUAAGAAUUAAGAUGAUUGAUAAGAAAUUAAAAAAAUAUAAUAAAUAAUUAUCUUAUAUUCAUGUUUAUUAGUCUUAUUUUCAUCUCAUCAUUAAUGUUCUUUAAACCUUAAUCAUAAACUAUUGUCAUCGUAUAUUCAUUAUAUGAUAUAAUAUUUUUAUCAUUAUUUUAGAAUAUUUUAUGUUUUCCUUUAUGUGACACUAAAUUCCAACAUACGUUCACCACUAACUUCAUAUAGUAUACAUCUUUAUUACAAAGCAAGACUGUUGACGAUGAUUUUCUUUCUUUAAGUGUGUUCCUUCAUUUUAUAAUCAUAGUCUACGUCAAUGAUUCAGUGUCACGUGAAGUUAAUGAUGAACGUACCUUGAAACGCAUUUUCACAUGAAGUAAAACAUAAAAUAUUGUAUAAUAAAGAUUAAAAAAUAAUAUAAUAUAAAAAAUAUAUGGUGAAAAUAGUUUAAAAUUAGGAUUUAAAGAAUAAUAAAGAUAAGAUAAAAAUAACAUUUUAGAUAAGAUUUAAAGAACAUUAAUGAUAGGAUGAAAAUAAAACUAAUAAACAUGGACAUAAAUACGUUUAUAAUCUUUUUUAGUUUCUUGUCAACCAUCUUAAUUCUUAGGUGAUAUUUUAUUAAAAAAAUAUACAUAUUCUUGAAGUAUAUCUCUAAAACUAUGGAACUAUGAAUCAUAGGUCUGAGAAUAUAUUUUCAAAAUAGGUAUAUGUAAUUUCAGAAUUACAUUUCAAGAAAACCAAAGGGGUAUACUUCUUUAAGAAGAAGACAUAAUAAUUAAUUGAGGUAAAAAAGGAAAUAAGGGAUGUACUUAAAAAAUGAGGAUGUAAAUAGCAAGAACCUAUCAUUUUCAUAAUAUUAUUUUAUCUUUAGGAAGGAAAAAAAAAUUCUUGAAGUAUAAUUUUGCAUUUUGAAUUCAUCAUUUCAUUUACGCGGCCUGUGCCUACUUUUCUUUGUGGUGAGCUUUCGUUGGUCAAAAUUAAGCAGGGUGUGGUGUAACAAUAUUGUGUAUUAUAAAAAUUAACUUCCAUAGUGUUUUGAACUGAAUAAAUAUUAGAUCGUGAACAUGGUUUUUUUUAAUUAGUGAACUGAUAUUAUGACUUGUCUUUAUUUAUCUCUCUAAUCUAGCUUUGAUAUAGACUAACGUACUAGGAUUAAAAUACCCGUUAAUCGCAAUACUCUCUUCUAAUAAAAUUUUGCUUAUGGGAAGAAAAGAUAAAUUAUUAAAUUAAGAAACCUUAUUAUUUAAUUUUGAGUGAAGUGAAGAUGAAUGGAAUAGGAAAAGUCCACAACAACAAGAUGACAAAAUGGGAGGUAAAGAUCCCAUGCUGCUCGUUUUCUUUCUACUCAUAAUAUUUAGUAAAACAACAACAGCCACAGAAGAUGCAUGCAUGGUACGUGCAUGUGCAAAAAUAACUCAUACUUUACAUUAAACAGAUCGAUAUGUAAUCUAAUAUAUAGGUACGUGCAGCAUGUGAUGAAGAAUUGCCGGGGAUAUGGUUAAUCAUAUCAUCACCUUCUGAAGCUCCCAUUAUGAGCAGAAGGUGCCUUUGUUGCUAUCACUCUUCCUGCAUAGUAGUGUUGCGAUCAGGCAGCUUGAGCACAGUGUAGGCACCUGCCCCACAUAGAGAUCCAAGUAUUGGAGCUGUGAGAUAGAUCCAUAUGCCCUUGUAGUUGUGUGCAGCAAUUGCUGGACCCAGUGUUCUAGCCGGGUUCAUUGAACUCCCAGUUGCUGCCCUUUAAUUAGUAGUACAUGAUAAUAAUUAAUUAGGGGACCAUUUUUUUUAUAAAUAAAUAAAAAAGAUUGGAUUAUGCCAAGAAUAAUUCAAAUUAUCGAAACAACUGCUAAACGUUUGCGUAAUACUAUAUCAUUUAACGACGUCAUAUCUUAUGUUCCUAGUGAUGCUUGUUGUAAUAUGUUUUAUAUUUUCUUUUAUGGAUAACCUUGCCCCCGAGCAAUUAGCAUAUUUGAAUAAUAAGAUGGGACAUAUAUAUACCCCGCCAUGAGUAUGUUGAUCAUGACAGUGGCUCCCACCACGAUUCCCGCGAACAAUCGCACCUGCACCAUAAUGAUUCCCGGGAACUCUCGCACCUGCACCAUAAUAUAACACGUCAAAUUAAAUCAACAGCAUUAUAAUGAUACGAUUUAGCUGUUAUCAAUAAUCUAUAUACUAUAAUAUAACAUAUAUAUACUUACUAAUUUGUUACAUAUAUUAAUGCACCUGUAUUAUUGCUAUAUAUUGUUCAAUUAUUCAUCAUAACAAUAUGUUAUGUUUCAAACAAACUAUGUUUAAUUUUUAUGGGUUGCAAUUAACGGCAAAGUUCCAAAUCCCUUUUGUUGUUUAGCUCAUAAACACACCAAACUGUAUGUUCAUGUUUAAUAUCGCAAAUUAACGAACAAAAAUAUGCGGAGAUUUAUUUUCCAUUAAUAACCCUCGUCUUGGAUACGUACCGCCCUCCUCUUGUCUGGGUAGGUAGACUCUUGCAUAUUUCAUCAGCAAUGAGAACCAAUUUCUGGCUCAACUACGGAAACUUACUCCCUACGUGCAUGCCUAAAAUCUUUUAAAAAUAAUUUUAUUUAUAACUUGUUUUCUUUAUGGUCUAUUUUUGGUGCAUGCACGAAUAUCAUGAGCUUCGUGGAUCUAGGUGGCAGGGCAUGAGGGCCUCCCAUGUAUUGUCGUUGACUUGUGUCCUUUUAAAAUUGAAAUCAUGUAUUAAUCGAACAAAACUUAAUAAUGAUCUGAUAUGACACAAAAGCAUAUAAAAACCUAGAAAUACACCAAAACGUUCUUCAGAGUUUACAGUAUCACUUAUCUCCUUCAAAUUAACACUUGUUUGACGUAAUUAAUUAAGCUUUGUCGAUCUCAGAACAUCCUUUUCACAUACUUCAACUGAUUCGGCUUAGUUACUUAAUUAUCAGAUGAAGAAAGUAGUGGUUAGUAGAGUAAAAUACUCACAACUCUUGUGCCGUCGGCCACUGCAGUGACAACGAACAUAAGAGUAAAGCUGACCAUGAACUCUGCAGCGAAAGCUUGCCCAUAUCCCACAGAAGGGACCGUCACUCCACCGCUCAUGAAUGGAUGAAAAAUUAACUUCAGAGCAAAUGCAGCACUCACUGAUGCCAAAACUUGUGCACCAAUAUACACAGGCACCUACAAAUUAGUAAUUCAGAAAAACCUUUAAUAUAUAGUAAUCAGAAAAUAACAAAUACUACAAAGCUUAAUCAAUUAGGUGCAGUUACUUAAUCAACAUUAUCUGGAUUUUUAUUGAAAGACAUUACCAGAAAGACCACCUACAUAUGUAUGUCACUAUACUGUUAUUUAAUUUGUCCAAAAAAAUGAAGGAAAAUUAAUUAAUCAAGGCUUCAUUUUGAAUUACAUUCUUCCACGGCAUGUGCUUUAUUACAGCAAAGGAGAUGGUGACAGCGGGGUUGAGAUGAGCUCCGGAGAUGUGGCCUAUGGAGCAUAUGAUUAUCAUCACAGUAACUCCACUAAUUACUGCACAUCCCACCACUGAUCCUUGUGACUUCUCUUUUUCAAUUGCAGCGCCUAUUGCCGCAGACAUGAGAAGGGAACGUGCCCAGAAACUCUGCUCCAACCUGGUUUAAUUUAAAGUCAACUCAACAACAUUAAUUCACGCAUAUCAUUUUGCUGGAUAAAAAAACUUAGCUUAGUGUAAUUUUGAAUAUACCUUUCUUCCGAGACUAAUGUCCAUUUCUUUGUUGAUCUCUAAAUGGUAAGUAAACUGAAAUCAAGUAAAGGGUUGAUAGAUAAGACAAGAAAAACUAUAUUAGACUAAACAGGUAAAGAGAGAAAAAGAGAAAAAAAGAGAGAAAGUUAAUCCGCAGCAAUAAUAGCAAACAGUCAAAGGGACGCAAAGUUAUCAUCAGCAGCUUCAGAGUUUUGAUUGCCAAUUUUCUUAGUUAAUCCGCCGUUCACUGAGUUAUUAACAAAAUUUCUCGAAGUAUCACAAACAAUAGUCACCAAACCCCUAAAUCAGACACAAGAACAACCACAUUUGGCUAGCAAACAGAUAAACCCUCGAACAAUGCGUCUCUUAGCACAUGAGAAGUUGAACUUACAGUUUGAGAGUGAAACGAUCGGCGCAGUAAAAGUGAGAAAUGAGAAAGGCAAGCACUAGUUGAUUUGGGUGUGUGCGAGCGAGAGAAAAAUGAGCAGCUGUGUCGACGCUGUACAGGUUUAACGGAAAGCCUAUAUAUAGAUGUUGAAAAAAAUUAUAAAAACAGGGCAUGAGGGCCUCCUUCGUGUUUCAUGCACGUUUAUCAUGAGCUUGGUGGGUGGCAGGGCAUGAGGGCCUCCUUCGUGGUUCACGUUUAUCAUGAGCUUGGUGGAUCUAGUGUAAUAGCUUUCUUGAUUUGGAGAAAGUGUAUGAAAGUGGCAUGGGUUGUGCUUUGCUAGUUUCUAGCAUCAGCAGCUUUCAUUUCCCUUUUGUUUCAAACAAACUAUGUUUAAUUUUUAUGGGUUGCAAUUAACCGGCAAGGUUCCAAAUCCCUUCUGUUGUUUAGCUCAUAAACACACCAAACUGUAUGUUCAUGUUUAAUAUCGCAAAUUAACGAACAAAAUUAUGUGGAGAUUUAUUUUCCAUUAAUGAAGAAGGGUUCUCUAGCAAUAGACCAGAAGAUAGAGCAUUCAAUUUAUGUCAUGAAUUAUGCGAUUUGAGUUCUGAAAAUCACCCUGGAAUCCGCCUUACUUUGAUGCUGAAAAUAUAAAGAAAAUAGGCCUCAGUGCCCGUUGCACCAGUGGGAAUUUGAUAUGUAUAGCACCUUUGAUUGACUGAUUGCACCCCAAGUAAUAAUAAAUUAAUAGAAAAAGUAUAUUCCACCUUACUUUCAUAUCCAAAUAUUUAUUUUAAACUUUAUUAUAUUUUUAGUUCAUUAAAUUAAAAGGUAUAUUGCACCCCAAGUAAUAAUAACUUUAUAGAAAAAAUAUAUUCCACCUUACUUUCAUAUCCAAAUAUUUAUUUUAAACUUUAUUAUAUUUUUAGUUCAUUAAAUUAAAAGGUAUAUGUCCUUCAAAUAAAAAUUUAUAUUUUUUUAGUUCCUUAAAUUUAUAAUAAAAUACUUUUUUAGUCUUUUCAAAUUGAGUUUUUUUAUAGUUUAGAUACAUAAUUUGUGGAGUUUUUUUUAAUAGAAGGACUAAUCAAACAUUUUGUAAAAUUGGGUGAAUAAAAAAUAUAAAUUUUUAUCUGAAAACUUGAAAAAGAUACCUCAAAGGAUUAAAAAAUAUAUUAAAAUUUUUAUUUUAAUACCAAAAGCAAAAUCCUUGUACUAUGAUUGCUAGUUCGUUAUAAAAUUAAAAUAUAAAACGGUAUUACAUUUGUAUUUUAAAAUAAAACGUGAUCCCUAAGGAAUUGAUAUUAUUAAUUGACAAUUAUUGUGUACUUUUGGUUUUUUCACGUUAAUCCCAGUGAUGAAGAAUGAGAUAUACUCUAAGAAAAAGAGAAUAGGUUGUAGAGAAAAAAAGAGAAGAUUAUAUUUCUUCAAAUAAAUUUUUAUAUUUAUAAUUUUUUCCUCUUUUAUAAAAGUUAACAUUGCUUUUUUUAUCUCUUUUAAAUGAGAUAUUUAUAUUUACUUGCGAAAAGUUUUGCUUAAAAUCUCAAAGAUCAAUUAUGAAAGAUGACUGAUUUAAAAAAAAAACAUAAAAAAUAUUAAAGAGUUUAACUCAAUUAUUUAAGGGUGAUACAUACGUUAUUGUAAACUCUCACAUUAUUUAUGUUUGAUGUGAUAAAAACAAACAUGAAAAAAAAAACUAUAUUUAUAGUAUCGAUCAUGUUGUACUUAGACAAAGGUCUUUGGUGCCAAACUUUAUCUUAUGUUGCUGCAUGGUGAUACUUUGUCAGCGCUGUAUAUUAUGUCUUUUUGCGUAAGGUUCUUUCCCGCAAUGUUUAUACUCUAGAUUUUUUUUAAGAUACUACUUGGUUGGCACCUGUCUUACACUUUAUCGCACAUAUUAAACAGUAUUAUUAAACUGCAUCAUAACACUGAACCUUUAAUAUUGAAUAUUAAUAAUAAAUAAUAAAAAUAUGACAUGUAAAGGUGACAAGCAAAAACUAAUAUACUUGUAGCAUUUCUAUUCUUGCAAAAUUAUGUUGAACGACUAAUUAAUUAAAAUGAUUUUAUGGAAAAUUUCACAUGUUUAGUUAACCAAAAUCAAUUUUGGCAUCUCUUGUCCAAACACAUACUUACUCCUCUCUCAGGAAAUAAAUUAAAUGCCUCAAUUUCUUUUAAGCGAAACUGUUAUUUAUGAUCACAAAUGUAUUGUUAAGUAGAUAGCUAAUUAGAAUUAGGUGACAUUGAAUUUGACAUGACACAUGAUGUUAGAUAAGUUAUUAUAAUGAUAAAACUAGACUAUUAUAUAUUUUGUCAUGUUACUUGUAUCACAUCUUCACAUAAAACAUUGGCAUAAAUCAGGGAAUGAUUAAUUUCUACUUUCUUUUAAGUACCAAGAAAAGUUUACAGUGAUGUAAUCCUGAAAUGGUAUGAGAAAUGUGAGGUGUUUCUCGAAAUUCUUAUAACCUUUUCCUUUCUAGAGGGUUGGAUCCAACCUCAUUUUAUUGUUGAUUGUCACAACAGCUAACACAAAGUGUUGUACACAAACAAAUGAGGCCACAUGAUUGGCUUGCAUUGCCGAAACACAUGUUGUGAUACCUAGCUAACAAAGAAUUCCUUUACAUUUGAUGGAUAACUAAUAACAUAAUAACUUUUGAGAUUGUUUAACUCUUUUGUUUGUGCUCACGUUGGUUUGGAAUCAAAUGCUUGACAAAAAAGUAUAAUGACAAGAAAAGGAUAAUAAAAAUGGUUUAAGAGAAAUGUGUUUAGUUUAAGAGGAAUGAAUAAAUAAAUAAAAAUGGUUUAUUCAAUUAAAAUAAUUUAUUUUCAAAAUGUAAAGAUCGAUUAUAAAAAAUGUAUAAUCAAUUUUUCACAAAAAAAACUGUAUAAACAAUUGUAGGACAUGAAAAUCAAUUUUCAAGUUUUCAAAAUCGAUUUUCAUAUGAGUGUUUACUGAUAUGGUUGGAGGUAUAUAAUUAAAUUAAAGUAUAAUGGGAUAAUUAAGUACUAGCUUUCUCUUAAAAUUAUCUGUUUCUGUACUAUUGUGUUUACUAAGUCUAAUUUACCUAUAAAUCCAUUUAGAAGAUCUUCUUGCUUAUAUUUUCAGUAUGAAUCAAUAUAAUAAAAGUAAUAAGAAUUUAAGAAUUUAUCCAUUUGCAACCUAUCAUAUAACAUGAGAACAUCUAGCGAUAACUCAAACAUAACUACUUAUUUUCACGACAAUACAAAUCACACCACCAUGUACUUCAAGGAAGUGUAAAUCUGAAUAUGACAGAAGAGAUAUAAGUAAACACGUGCCUAUGACUCAUUUGUAAUCAUAUUGCUACAUACUAUAACAUGUCUAAGAUCUAAUGCGGAGUGGAGAAAGUUAGGCCAAAAGUAAAGACAAAGUAGCUUCAAUAAUGUUAUUUCAAAUGAGUUGAUGAGAGUGGCUUUUGGACAAGUCAUAGCAUAUUUGAUUUGAAUUAUGUCCAAUUCUACGGUGAUAAUCAACUGUGGUUUGGAUCUGUGCUGAAUUUAUUCAUCAUAGGAUACAAAUAAACAACAAUAAGUUAUAUGCAAGAAUUUCUAUCUGGAUUUGUUAAUGAUUUCCAAUCAAACUAUUAUGUCAAGGACUAAAGGCUACCACUGCAAAAGCAUUAAAAAAUAAAAAAAAAUUCUAUGUUGCAUACUUUUUCUAAAAGCAAAUUCUGUCAGCCUUUUUUUUUUUUUUCUCUAGAAUGCGUUAGCAGUGUUUUUUUUUAUUAAAACAACAACAACAGCCACAGAAGAUGCAUGCGUGAUAAGUGCAUGUGCAAAAAUCACUCAUUCUGGGUAAAGUCUUGCUAUCACUCUUGCAGUGUUGCGAUCACUCUUCCUGAUGUGAUCAGGCAGCUUGAGCACAGUGUAGGCACCUGCCCCACAUAGAGAUCUUGUAGUUGUGUGCAGCAAUUGCUGGACCCAGUGUUCUAGCAGGGUUCAUUGAACUCCCAGUUGCUGCCCUUUAAUCAGUAGUACAUGAUAAUAAUUAAUUAGGGGACCAUUUUUUUAUAAAUAAAUAAAAAAAAGAUUGGAUUAUUCCAAUAAUAAUCCAAAUUAUCGGAACAACUGCUAAACGUUUGCGUAAUACUAUAUUAUUUAACGACUUCAUAUAUUAUGUUCCUAGUGAUGCUUGUUGUGAUAUGUUUAUAAUUUCUUUUAUGGAUAACCUGGCCCGCGAGCAAUUAGCAUAUUUGAAUAACGAUACGAUUUAUCUGUUAUCAAUAAUCUAUAUACUAUAAUAUAGCAUAUAUAUACUUACUAAUUUGUUACAUAUAUUAAUGCACCUGUGUUAUUGCUAUAUAUUGUUCAAUUAUUCAUCAUAACAAUAUGUUUUUUAAAAUCUUUUUGAUUAACUCACGUUUUUAAAAAAAAGUUAAUUAAUUACACUAUCAUUCUAAAAUUAUAUUUUCCUUAUCUCUUAAUCUAUUUCAUUACUUUAGAAAGAUAAUAAUUGAAUAAAGAUAUACAAUAUAGGAAAAAAAAUUAAUAUUCUAGAAAUUAAAAAAAAUUAUAAAAAAACAAACAAAUUUUUAAAAAUAAUUUUAUUUAUAACUUUUUUCUUUAAAUGAAUGCUCCGUUUUCUUUAUGGUCUAUUCUUGGUUCAUGCACGAAUAUCAUGAGCUUCGUGGAUCUAGGUGGCAGGGCAUGAGGGCCUCCUCCUAUGUAUUGUCGUUUACUUGUGUCCUUUUAAAAUUGAAAUCAUGUAUUAUUAAUCGAACAAAACUUAUCAUCUGAUAUGACACAAAAGCAUAUAAAAACCUAGAAAUAGACCAAAACGUUCUUCAGAGUUUACAGUAUCACUUAUCUCCUUCAAAUUAACACUUGUUUGACGUAAUUAAUUAAGCUUUGUCGAUCUCAGAACAUGGUUUUUACAUACUUCAACUGAUUCCGCUUAGUUACUUAAUUAUCAGAUGAAGAAAGUAGUGGUUAGUAGAGUAAAAUACUCAGUUCUUGUGCCGUUGGUCACUGCAGUGACAACGAACAUAAAAAUAAAGCUGACAAUGAACUCAUGUGAUUAGUUUAUUUUUUUAAUUUGAAAUUAAGAUGUUAAAAUAUAGGAAAUUAAGGUAUCCUAUGAAGUGGGAUUUGGUUGGUUUAUAUGCAUCAUGUGAUUAGUUUACACUGAUGACUGGUUGCAGUGUAGUGUAGUAGCGUGAACAUUAUUAGAUGAAGAUAGUGUAGUAGCAUGAGUAUUAUUGGAUGAAGAUAACAUAAUGCAAAAGAGAGAGAAAGAAAAGUUGCAAGUUGGUGACUGGUGCUACUCUGGAAUAGCUUUCUUCAUUUGGAGAAAGUGUAUGGAAGUGACAUGGAUUGUGCUUUGCUAGUUUCUAGCAUCAGCAGCUUUCAUUUCCCUUUUGUUUCAAACAAACUAUGUUUAAUUUUUAUGGGUUGCAAUUAACCGGCAAGGUUCCAAAUCCCUUCUGUUGUUUAGCUCAUAAACACACCAAACUGUAUGUUCAUGUUUAAUAUCGCAAAUUAACGAACAAAAAUAUGAGGAGAUUUAUUUUCCAUUAAUGAAGAAGGGUUUUCUAGCAAUAGACCAGAAGAUAGAGCAUUCAAUUUAUGUCAUGAAUUAUGGGAUUUGAGUUCUGGAAAUCACCCUGGAAUCCGCCUUACUUUGAUGCUGAAAAUAUAAAGAAAAUAGGUUGCAGUGAGAACCAUUUUUGGAUUUUUUUUAUUCAAGUGGUACGUACCGCCCUCCUCUUGUCUGGGUAGGUAGACUCUUGCAUAUUUCAUCAGCAAUGAGAACCAAUUUCAGGCUCAACUACGGAAACUUACUCCCUACGUGCAUGCCUAAAAAAAAGUUAAUUAAUUACAUUAUCAUUCUAAAAUUAUAUUUUCCUUAUCUCUCAAUCUAUUUCAUUACUUUAGAAAGAUAAUAAUUGAAUAAAGAUAUACAAUAUAGGAAAAAAAUUAUAAAAAAACAAACAAAUUUUUAAAAAUAAUUUUAUUUAUAACUUGUUUUCUUUAAAUGAAUGCUCCGUUUUCUUUAUGGUCUAUUUUUGGUGCAUGCACGAAUAUAUCAGCUUCUUGGAUCUAGGUGACAGGGCAUGAGGGCCUCCUAUAUAUUGUCGUUGACUUGUGUACUUUUAAAAUGGAAAUCAUGUAUUAAUCGAACAAAACUUAUCAUCUGAUAUGACACAAAAGCAUAUAAAAACCUAGAAAUAGACCAAAACGUUCUUCAGAGUUUACAGUAUCACUUAUCUCCUUCAAAUUAACACUUGUUUGACGUAAUUAAGUAAGCUUUGUCGGUCUCAGAACAUCGUUUUCGCAUACUUCAACUGAUUCGGCUUAGUUACUUAAUUAUCAGAUGAAGAAAGUAGUGGUUAGUAGAAUAAAAUACUCACAACUCUUGUGCGGGUGGCCACUACAGUGACAACGAACAUAAGCAUAAAGCUGACAAUGAACUCUAUAGCGAAAGCUUGCCCAUAUCCCAUUGAAGGGACCGUCACUCCACCGCUCAUGUACGGAUGAAAAAGCGCCUUCAGAGCAAAUGCAGCACUCACUGAUGCCAAAACUUGUGCACCAAUAUACACAGGCACCUACAAAUUAAUAAUUCAGAAAAACCUUUAAUAUAUAGUAAUCAAUGCAAGAAAAUAACAAAUACUACAAAACUUAAUUAAUUAGGUGCAGUUACUUAAUCAAAAUUAUCUGGAUUUUUAUUGAAAGACAUUACCAGAAAGACCACCUACACAUGUAUGUUACUAUACUGUUAUUUAAUUUGUCCAAAAAAAUGAAGGGAAAUUAAUUAAUAAAUUAACACUUAAUUUUGAAUUACAUUCUUUCCAGGGAAGUGCUUUAAUGCAGCAAAGGAAAUGGUGACAGUGGGGUUGAGAUGAGUCUCAGAGAUGUUUCCUGUGGAGAAUAUGAUGAUCAUGACAACAAAUCCACGUAUCUUUACAUUCUCAAUUGCAGAAGAACUGAUGAGUAGGUGGAAACUGAUGAGUUAGGCACAAAGGAAAAGAAGAACUAACUUGUAUGUGGAAGUGGAGUGUGACAAUACAAUAUGGGAUUUGUUAGCGGCCCAUAAUGGGUCAAUCAAUAUGUUUUCCUCCUCUCUUAAGGGAAAAGAUAAACACGAGUGGAAAAAUACAUGAAUGGUUGAAACUGAUGGCAGUUAGGUACAAAGAAAAGAAAAAAGAGGUAGCUGUUUACUUAUGAGGACGUGUUUUGUGUGGGAAAAUACACGGGUUUAGGAAAUUGAUGACAGUUAGGUACAAAGAAAAAGAGGAGGUAGUUAUUUACUUGUACGUGGAAGUAGAGUGUGACAAAUGCAAUAUGGGAUUUGAAAAAGCGGCCCUUAACGUCAGACAUCAAUCAUUAUAUGUACCAUUCAAUGUGCCUUCUGUUAUUUUUUCUAAUCCAUCUUGGCCAUGUUAUUGGAGUCCAAGUGCGAGUAACAAGUCAAACAUUGGAAAAAAAUAAACACAAUAUUGAUCAACAUAUAAGUGAAAAUGACUUACAAACCGUAUGCAUUAUGGCUUUAGAUUAGACGUGGUGUCAAGUUGAUUCAUGUAAUUUUCUUGUGGCUCAUCUAUAGAUAUCUCAAUGUUAUUUUAAUCAUUGUAUUCCCAAACAAAGGGCAUCGAGACAAAUGGUGCCCUCAUGGAGGAACUUUGUUUAUGAAGAAUUUCAAUGUUUUUCUUUUAUUAGCGGAUAUAAAUUUGUAACUUGUUUGAAAUUUAUUAAUCAAUCACUUUUAAUAAAAGAAAUGAAAUGUAAAUCUGAGUUUGAAUUUGUGAGAUUAGAGUGUUAGCUUUUCAAUGUAAAAGAGAUUAAAUAAUAAUAUGGUAAGACAUGUUUUUGUUCUCUAUAAAACUUCUGAAGUUUACUUUUAGUCUAUUAAAAAAAAUUGGUUUAUUUUUUGUCCUUCUAAUUAUAUAAUGUAUCAUUUUUAUCCCCUCAAGUAUUAUUUAAACCACUUUUCGUCUCUCUAUAAAGUACUAUCUAAGCCACAUUAAAGAUAAAAAGUGGUGCGUUUCAAUAUUAGAAAGACAAAAAAAUGGACAAAUUUUUAGAAGGACUAAAACCAAACAUUAGAAAUUUGUGAGAUCAAAGACAUACUCUACAAAAAGAUAAAUCACAAAGUGGCAAGGGUCAAAUAAAAAAUAUAAAACUUUUAUUUCAGGUGAAUUUUACCCAUAGUUUACCUUCUAUUUAAAUGUUUGUGCUAUUUAAAUUUUUCUUUGAACCAAACUAUAUGGCUGUCGAAACAAUUAUGGUAAUGCAAUAGUUAAGAGUAGUUAGUUACAUAAUAAUUAAUUACAAGUCAUCUGGUAUGAUUUAUAAAAUAAUCAUUAUAAAAAUCAAUAAAUUUAUAAUAUAAUAUGAGGUUUAUGAUUGAGUAAUAAUGUAAAAAAAAUUAUUUUAUCCGUAUAUAUACUAUUUACUCUAUUUUGUGUUCAUUUCUUUUAUUUCUUUCUAUUAUUUUUAGGGUCUUAUUUUUCUAUUUUAAAAUGUAAAUAAUAACUUUUCUUAUUUAUACUAUAUAGUAUGAAUAUCCAAAUAGUAGAACAGAGACUGUAAUAUAUGUUUUAUCUUAUUUUAUUUUAUUUUCAUUUUAUUUCAACUUAAGUUCCACAUAUAUGAUUUAUAUUAACAUGCAUGCCAUUAGUUUGAGUACUGAAACUAAAUUCAUAUCGUUUAAUUAAGAUGUUAAAUUUGAAUCUUGUAAAUAAAUAAAAAUUUGAUUGAGAGAAGAAAUUUUCCUUUUUUAUAUAUAAAAGAAAAAUUCUUACUAAAGUGAUUUGAUCUAAAUUGUAUUGUAAAACAUAUAUGAUUGAGAGAAAACUAGCUACAUUUUGCAAUAGAAAUUAGGCAUUUUAGAAAGUAAAUAUUUACAUCAGUAAGAGGGAAAAAAACUUCAUGCCUAUAUUAUUUAUUAGAUUCAUUAGUUAGCUGGAGGAGUAGUUAAGUCACCCUCAACUUUAUUCAAAUUAAUUUCCUAUAGAUCAUUGGACUUGCAGUGUUAAUGAUCUGAUUUGACGUCAACAUAAUUUAAAUUGAUCCGGUGCAGGUGAUGAUUUGGUCUGAAUUGUAUUAUUAUUCAAUUGCGUUCUUUCCGAAAAUAAUUUCAUAAACUUUUCAUAUCAUUAAAAUUGAUGCACAUUUGCUUUUUUAUUCUAAUUGCACAUUUGGUUUAUUCAUACAUGGUUAAGAAAUUUCAUUGUUAGGUGGUUAAGGGUAGUUAGUUACAUAAUUGGUCAAGUGAUUAGGUUAAAUGGAUGGACAAGAGUGGAAGGAGAUUUCAUUCUCAAUAGUUAGUAUUAAGAAAACUGAGCAUUAUCUCAAUUGUAGAAUGGGAAACCCCUGGACGGAGUAUUAACAUCAUAUUUGCCGUGUUGUGAUCUGAAUCUAUAUGCAUUUCUUCCUUAAUACUUCCUAAUUUAUCUUUCCUUUCUUUUGUCACUUCACAUAGAGGAUGAAAUUGAUGAUAUCCAGAAGGUAUAAAUCUUGUAAAUUACAUGUACUUGAUAUUUGUUGUACCCAAAUUUUUACAUUUUUAUUCUGUUCAAUAUUUUCAGGAAAUUUCUGUUCUGUCCCAAUGUCGAUGUCCAUACAUUACUGAAUAUUAUGGUUCCUAUCUCAAUCAAACUAAACUUUGGAUAAUAAUGGAAUACAUGGCUGGUGGCUCAGUUGUUGAUCUAGUAGGCAAAGGCUGCUCGUGACAGAAAUUCAAAUGCCUCAAUUAACCGAUGUAGAAUGUAACUUCUCUAGUAGUGACACAUUAAUUAAACAUAUUUGUUUAAAAAGUAAAUUACACUAAUCGUUCCUAAAAUUUUGUGAAAUUACAUAAAUUUUCUCUACUUGUAUGUACUCCUACACUAAACCCUUAAUUUUAUGAAAAUAUAUAUCAAUACACCUUAUACAUUACAUUAACCGCCCUUAAUUGCUUGAAAAACAUUACGCCAUCCUCCCCUACAAGGGAGGUUUUUGUAAAUAUUAAAAAUUGAGAAAAACUUUAUGUACACCAAAUCUCAUGGAAUGCUAAUUACUGUAUUUUACUAUAGUUUAAAAUUAUAGUUAAAUAUUUAUGGAGUGUGUGCUAACUUGUCUUAAGGAAUUUGUGUACAAACAAAACUUGUUCCUUAAUUUUAAACUUUGGAGGUCAUUUUCAAAGUGUACGCAUAUAAAAAAAGUAUUAAAAAAAUUAUAGAAAGAUAAUAAUUGUAUAUAAUAAAAUAGAUUAUAUUAAUUAUUUCGUAUUCAAAAAGAAUUAUUUGUUUGAUCAUUUUUUUAUUGCUGACAUUUAAGAGUGAAUUAAAGUAAGAAAACUUUCAAUUUGUAACCCGUGUUUAAGACUGGUGCAUAUUGUACUACCAACUAUAGACCUGGUCUGAUACCACAUUUACUAUUGGUAGAGCGUAAAUCAAGGUUAUAACUUAGUGGAUUAGCAUAAAAUUUGUCAAAAAUAGGUCAUAUAAGCUAACCAUAUACACAAUGUGGCCUUUACAUUCCCUCUCUCCCUUUCUUAUUUUAGAAAAUAUGAUUUUUAACGUUUUAACAAACCACAAAUUGCAUUUGAAUGAUUCAAUUGUAUUAGCUGUUCAAUACCAUUUUUUGUAUGCAUAAAUAACACUUUACAUUGCAUCCCUAAACUACAAAAACGUAUUCUUUGAGGGAAUUUGACAAAAAAGUAGCCACUGCCCCAACGAUCCCAUUUCCCUUGACUUCUCUACGUGAAGCUCCUUGUUUUGCAUAGUAUGUGCAUAAAUUAAUAUACAAGUUAAUUUGAGGAAUACAAUAUAUUUAUAUGUUAUGUAAAUGUGACUUUCUUAUUAUUAGAUUUUGAUCUUUAAAAAAAUUAAUUUUGUUUAUUUCGAUCUUCAACAAAAUCAUUAUAUUUCAAAUAGUGUCUAUAGUUACUUGAUGAUGAUGUUAAAUGCAUUUAGUUAUACCGUGUUACAUGUCACAUCAAAAUGGUUGGUGGUGCGACAUGAGUAGCUGCAUGACAUUUUAUAACCAAGCGCAUUAUAUGAAGUUUUUUUCAACAAUUGUAGAGAUAAAAACAAAAGAAAAAAGAAUCAAAAUCAAACAAGCCAUGUUUAGAGUUUAAAAACAUGCCCAUUCUUAAAUAGUGUAUAGGAAUAUUAUGGUCAUAUUACUUGUCACAUUAACUAAUUUUACAGUAAUACUCAUUAAUGACAGGGAGCUAGUUGAAAUGUCCGAGGGAAAUGCAGGGAAAGGAAAGAAAAUCGCCAUCAUUGGUGUCUCAACCUUAUUGUUGGUGGCUAUGGUUGUGGCGGUCACAAUUGGGGUCAAUCUCAAUGAGAAUGGUUCCAACAAUGAUAUAGAGGACAACAAGAAAGAUCAUGUUGCUUCUUCCAUAAAAGCCGUCCAAACCCUUUGUCAUCCCACAAAUUAUGAGAAAGAAUGCGAGGAAAGCCUUAUAGCUGGGGCUGGAAAUACCACAGAUCCAAAAGAACUUAUCAAAAUUUUCUUCAACAUCACCAUUACAAAAAUUGGUGAUAAACUCAAAGAAACUAAUAUUUUGCAUGAGGUUGAGGAGGAACCCAGAGCCAAGAUGGCACUUGACACUUGCAAGCAACUCAUGGAUCUUUCUAUUGGGGAAUUAACAAGGUCACUUGAUGGAAUAAAUGAGUUUAACCUCAUAAAUGUUGACAAAAUCCUCAUGAAUUUAAAAGUUUGGCUUAGUGGUGCGGUUACAUACCAAGAUACUUGCUUGGAUGGGUUUGAGAACACCACUAGUGAUGCUGGCAAAAAGAUGAAGGAUUUGUUGACGAUAGGCAUGCAUAUGAGCAGCAAUGCCCUUGCCAUUGUAACAGAUUUGGCUGACACUGUUAACGAUUGGAAUAUCACAAAAUCAUUUGGGCGUCGCCUCCUUCAAGAUUCUGAGCUUCCGUCAUGGGUUGAUCAACAUAGACUCCUUAAUGAAAAUGCAAGUCCAUUAAAACGCAAGCCUAAUGUUACUGUAGCCAUAGAUGGUAGUGGAGAUUUCAAAAGCAUCAAUGAGGCAUUGAAGCAAGUGCCGGAGAAAAACCGAAAGCCAUUUGUGAUCUACAUCAAGGAAGGCGUUUACCAAGAGUAUGUUGAAGUUACAAAAAAAAUGACCCAUGUGGUGUUUAUUGGUGAAGGGGGGAAAAAGACACGAAUAUCUGGUAACAAAAACUUCAUAGAUGGAACGAACACUUAUAGAACUGCCACUGUCGGUAUGUCUCUUUUCGUGAUUAUCAACUUAAUUAACUUACUACUCCUAUGCAUUUGAGUAAAAAAAAAAACUUAAUAACUUAUCCAAUAAAUUUAUUAAAUGAAACCUUAUUCAUGACUCAGACUGUGAAGCUUACCAAAAUGAGAUUAAAAAAAACUAAAUUUAUUACUCAUGUGCAUUUGGGUAAAAAAAACAUAAUUAAAAACUUAUUCAAUAAAUUUAUUAAAUGAAACCUUAUUCUUGAGUCAAACUUUGAAGCUUACUAAAAUGAGAUUAAAAAAACUAAAUUUGAUAAGUUUCUCCAUAAAACUCUUAAGUUUAUAAAAAUAUCAUAUGUCAUGUUCUUCAACUUGAAUAAACUCUUUGAAAAGUCCUUUCCUUACUUAACAUUUUAAGGUCCAUAGUUUUUAUUUGAAAACACCUUUAACCCGCCCCAAAAUGAAUAAAUUAAUAAAAGAUACAUUUACAAAAUUUAAAAAAUAAAAAUAUAAACCAUUUUCAAUUCAAGGGAAAUUUUUCAUUCGAAUAAAUAAAUUAACUACUUUACGCAUGCAGCUAUUCAAGGAGAUCACUUUGUGGCCAUCAAUAUGGGGUUUGAGAAUUCUGCUGGACCUCAUAAGCAUCAAGCGGUGGCAUUGAGAGUCCAAGCAGACAAGUCCAUCUUUUACAAUUGCUCAAUGGAUGGGUAUCAAGACACACUUUAUGCACACACCAUGCGUCAAUUCUAUAGAGAUUGCACCAUUUCAGGUACCAUCGACUUUGUGUUCGGUAAUGCACUAGCUGUUUUUCAAAAUUGCACUUUCGUGGUCCGAAAGCCAAUGGAGAACCAACAAUGCAUUGUGACUGCACAAGGUAGAAAAGAGAUACAACAACCAUCUGGAAUAGUAAUCCAAGGGGGAUCCAUUGUGUCUGAUCCUGAAUUCUACUCAGUGAGAUUUGAGAACAAGGCUUACCUAGCUCGUCCAUGGAAGAAUUACUCUAGGACCAUUAUCAUGGACACAUACAUUGAUGAUUUGAUUGACGCGGAUGGGUAUUUGCCAUGGCAAGGACUAGAGGGUCCUUCUGGUAUGGAUACUUGCUUCUAUGCCGAGUACCACAACAUUGGCCCUGGUUCAGACAAAUCCAAGCGUGUGAAAUGGGCUGGGAUUUGGAACCUCAAUUCAAAAGCAGCACGUUGGUUCUCACCAUCUAAGUUUUUUCAUGGAACUGAUUGGAUUGAGGUUACUGGAAUUCCUUACUUUCCUGGCGUGCCGAAACACCAUAGGCACAAAAAGACAAUACUUAAUUGGCAAUAAAAGUAAUGAGUUGCGAAAGCAAGCAAUAUAAAUUAAUUAAAAAGUAAUGAUUGUGCUUCUUUAUUCUUUAAUUAUUUUUAUUUCAUUACUUAACUUUAGAGUUAGCUACAUUUUUUUAUCUCAAGGAAUUGAAAUCAAUGUAACACAAUUCCUCUCUUGAUAACUUUUUGUUUAGUGGAUAAUAAAUGGGUCUUCUAUAUAUUCUUCAUUACAUUUGCAUCUAAUUUGAUUUUUACGUAAGUAAAGUGAUUUGUUGCUAUGUACUUUUAAUUGUUACAUUGUUGGCCUUUUCUUUUUCACCUUCAUUUAUCAAAAUAAAAUUAUGAUGAAGCAUUUACAUAUUGGUGAAUUUAAUCAACACGACUACUUAAAUUUAACUCAUUGAAUGUGCUGUUUAAGUUUUAUUAAUCUUGUCACAAGUCUUUAUUGUAUUCUAUAUAGAUAAAAAAAUAAGUAAAAAAAAUGACAUGGAUAAAAAAUAAUAUUUCAAACAAAUAAUUAAUGAGAUUUUAUUAUAAAUGAAGUAUAUCCGUAUCAAAGCCACUAGAUUUGAACCUUAGUGUGAUCAUUGUACAUAAAAAAAAAAAUAUCAAUGUGUCAUAUUAUUUUAUGACAACAUUGUUUGUGCAAGCUACAUUAUUAUUAAGAAAUUAUAUAUAUAUAUAUAUAUAUAUAUAUAUAUAUAUAUAUAUAUAUAUAUAUAUAUAUAUAUAUAUAUAGGUUUCAAGGACAUUAAGCUUAAGCUUACCUACAUCUAUAAAACAUUUUCCUCUUGACUUGUCCAUCAAUACAAUUUAAAUUUUUAUUAAUUUAACCAAUAAAAAAAUACAUUAAAAAGGUAUUUCUAGCACUACUCUUAAAUACAAUGACAAGGAAAGAAACCAAGUUACUCAAGUUGUUAUUCGCUAGGUAGGUAAUAUUACAUCCCAUUUAGAAGAGAAAUUUUAGCUAAGAUAUUGUUAAUACUAUUAUUAACUGAAAUUUUUUAGAAAUUAUAAAAUUAUUUAAUUUUUGUUAAAUUACAAUUUUUCUUACCUUCAUUUUCCAAAUUCAUGAUUUUGGUCUUCCUGAUUUUUAAUUUUAAAAUUUGAUCUUCCAAAUUUUGUAAAUUUAUAAUUUUGGUCAUCCUUAUAGAAUAUUAAACUAAUAAUUAUGAUUAACAGAUUUAUUAAAUUAACUAUAAAUUAAAUAAAAAUUAUUAAUCAUUAAAAAAUUUUAACAAAUGAUUAUUAACUCUAAUGUGAUAUUGUUGCUAGUGGAUUCCUAUGUGAUGAUAGAGGUGAAAUAAGUAUACACCGUGUUGUGAAGGAUCAAGGUUAAUAAUUUUUAUUAAAAUUUUAAUAAUUAAUGGGUUUUAAUUAAUUUAUAAUUAAAUUAAUAACAGUUUAAUCAAAAUUAUUUAUUAAUAAUCUAUCUGUGGAACCAAAAUCAUCAAUUUAUAAAAAUAAAAAAACUAAAUGUUAUAAUUAAAAAUCAAGACGACCAAAAGCAUAGAUUUAAAAAAUAGAAGAAGAACAAAAAUUAUAAUUUAACCUUUAAUUUUUAUUAUUUAUUUAAUAAAUCUCAUUAUUGAUUUUUAAACUUUUAAUGAAUUUAAAAUAGAAGGACUAAAACUCUCUCUUAUUUAAGUUUUAAAAUUUAAAAUUAUAAAAAUAAGAAAAUAAAUAAUUUUUAAAAAUUUCUUUCCUUUCCUGCUUAAUUAAAUAAAGCAUUUAAUUAAAAUCUCUUUUCUCUCUUCGAUUUAGAUCGCUCACAUUCCUUCCUGAAAUCAUUGUUUCGGUUUUAUUUCUUCUUAAUAUGAAUUAGUAACCAUGCGGCCAAAACCUCAUAAAUUAUAUCAUUCACCAAGAAACUCAAUAUAUUUUAUUUGGAUUUUCAAGAUAAUUUUCUCUUGUUUGAAACGGUAAAAAUUUAAAGAAAGAAAACUCAACACAAAUCUCACCUCUAAAUGUUUUCCAGCCCCCCACCAUGCCAAAAUAUCCUGGCAGGCAGUGGCUAGGGGCAUAUUUUGAGGAAAAUAGUUUAUCGUGCUGGUUUCACCUCCUCUCAAAAGAUAACUACAUAAAAUACAAGUUUUCUAUAAGAAUGGUUUAGUGAGAGAAUUUAAGGAUAAAGGGUGAAGGAGAAAAGAAGAAGAGAUUGUAAUGGUAAAUCUCUUAUCAACAUUUUUAACAAAAACUAACAAAUGAACAUCUGUUCAUAAAAAAAUCAUAAACUACACUUGUCUCUUGUAUUCUUUCUUAUUAUUAAAAGGCUGAGAUGAAGGCUGAGAUGUACUCUAAGAGAUAGAAAGAGAACAUAGUGUAGAGAAAAGAUGAGAAAAUUAUAUACGAGUUAUUAUUCUUUCUUGAAAUAAAUUUAUAUUUAUAAUUUUUCCUGUUUCAUAAAAGUGAGCAUUACUUCUUUAUCUCUUUUAAAUGAUAUAUUUAUGUUUGACUGUGAAAUGUCUUGCUUAAACCAUCAAAGAUCAAAUAUGAAAGAUGAUCAAUUUGAAAGGAAAAAAACAUGAAAAAUAUUAAAAAAUUUAACUGAAUAACUUAAGAUGAUACAUAAAUUAUUGUGAACUCUCACAUUAUCUAUCUUAGAUUUUUAAAAAACAAACCUGAAAAAACUAUAUUUUAAAAAAAUUCAAAGGGAUACAAGUCAAGAAAAAUGAUAUUACUAAGAUAUAGCAUUAGAAUUAUGAAAUUUUAAGUAUUACAUUACAAUUUAAUUCGUAUGUAUUGCUAACCAAAUUAACCUCAAAUGUCAUGCACCUAACCAAAUUAACCUUCUAUAAAUCUAUGUACAAACAUAAUUUUUCACUUAUCACCUCUCGACCAUAUUCUAACAGCACCUAACCUUCGAAAUCCACAUAUUUUGACUCUUUCAACGUCACCUUCUCCAUUUGAUUAUUCAAAUUUACCAUAUCAAUAACAACUCAACUCCCCUUCCCACCUCAAUUUUCAUAUUCCAUCUAAUGCAAAAUCAAUCAUAAUUUUGUGUCAAAGAUAUAAGGUGAAUUGAAUGAUUAAAGAAAAACUAAAGAGAAAAAAGUCACAAAUUUAAUCUCUUUUAUUAACAGUAGUAACAAUAAAUAUUUAUAUUUAAAAAAAACAUAGUUUUGUCUGGAAAAUGCCUAGUGAUGAACUGAUGAUGCACUCAAGUACUAAAUUGACAUACAUCAUUUCCUCUCCACGAUUGACACGUUGGUUUUCCACUCCAAGGAAAAAAAGACUUUAAUGUAAUUAGAUUAUAUAUCUCUCCUUAAGUUGUAACAACAGUUACAACAUUUCCAUGGUUCCACCUAUUUCUUGAGGUGUGUGGAUUAUCUCCUGCCAUCUUGCCUCUCCAGCAAGAAAAACCAAGCGAGGAGAGGACAUAGAAUAGAAAAGAGAGAGAUAAGUUGAAAGAUAAAAGAAAAAAUAGAAAAGGAAGAGAAAGAUAGAGAUAUUGAAGAAGGUCGGAGAGGAUCUGAAUAUUUACUCAAGCUAAGCUUGUAGUAUCUAAUAACAUUAUUGUUUGUAUUUUAAAAAAUUCAGGAUAUUUUUUUCAUAAAUUAAUAACUAAUCCUUUGAAGUAUUGAAAUGAUUUAAAAGACACACCGUCUCUUAUAGAUUUUUUUUUUUUACUCGUAAUAGAUAUCAAGAAUGACAAGGCUUAAUCAAAUUUGUUUGAUAAAUAAAAAUGAGAGACACAAGAACAACUCUAAAUAAUUUGAAACUAACAAAUUAUAACUGUAUUAAAAUAAUAAAAUGUAUACUAAAAAUAAUAAGAUAUAAUUUUGGCAAUAAAAUAAUGAAAACAAUAAUUGAGUAUUGUAUUUUUUAUAAUAUGUAAUUAUAUAAAUAUGAGUAUUGUAAUUUUAUAACUAUGGACAAAGAUACGCACUAUUUAUCUAUUGAUUUUUACAAACAAUAGAUAAAUAGUGCGUACCUUUGUUCAUAGUGAAGCUUCUCUUUUGUGUACUUUGAUUCUUGGAAAGAUGAGAAAAAGAAGAUUUUAAUUUGCUUUCUUGACUAUUUUUUGUCCCUCUACGUUUGUGAUUCGUAUUGACAAUUCAUAUGAUUCAUACGGAUCAACAAUUCAUAUGAGUUUAAAAAAAAUUCAUAAAGAUCAUCAAUCCGUAUGAGUUAUAUGGAUCGCCAAUCCAUAUGAAUCAUAUGAAUCACCAAUCCCUUUCACCUAUGUUGCUGGGUGUUCCAGCAAAAAUGUUGGGUGGCCAAAACAACUACCUUUUUAUUGGUUGGUACUUUUCGAGGGUCGCUAGCAACAUGUGAUGCAACUUGGGCUGUUACUAUUUGCAUCUCUAACUAUUUCAUGUAGGCUCUGGCUAUUACACCUACGUAUUCCCUAAGUACACCCAUGUACCCCCCCUUUACCUCUCAAUUACCCUUUAUACUCUUUUUCUUAAAAGCAUAUACCCCUUUUGCUUUCAGAAAUGUAUUUAUGGAAUUACACAUUCAUAUUCUGGAAAUGUAUCUCCGAAACUAUGGUUCAUAGUUCCAAAGAUAUACUUCUAGAAUUGGUAUAUAUUUUUUUAAUAAAAUAUCAUUUAAGAAAUAAGAUUAUUGAUAAGAAAUUAAAAAAAUAUGAUAAAUAUUUAUCUUAUAUUCAUGUUUAUUAGUCUUAUUUUCAUCUCAUCAUUAAUGUUCUUUAAACCUUAAUCAUAAACUAUUGUCACCGUAUAUUCAUUAUAUAAUAUAGCAUUUUUAUCAUUAUUUUACAAUAUUUUAUGUUUUCCUUUAUGUGACACUGAAUUCCAACAUACGUUCAUCACUAAUGUCCAUUUUGCUAGAUAAGGAACUUAGCUCAAUACAAUUUUGAAUAUACCUUUUUUCAAGAAUAAUGUUCAUUUCUUUUUCUAUUGAUCUCUAAGUAGUUAGUAACUUAGAAACCAAGUAAAGGGUUGAUAGAUAAGACAAGAAAAACUAUAUUAGACUAAAUAGGGAAAGAGAGAAAAAGAGAAAAAAAAGAGAAAGAUAUCCUUGAGAUUGAUGUUAAGAUUGUUUUGUCUUUGAUUUGGUUUGGUUUAGGGUGAGGAUGCAAAGAGUGAAGAUCUAUUAUAUAGGAGGGGUGUGAGUGAUUGAAACUGAUGAGUUAGGCACAAAGGAAAAGAAGAACUAACUUGUACGUGGAAGUGGAGUGUGACAAUGCAACAUGGGAUUUGUUAGGGCCCAUAGUGGGUCAAUCAAUAUGUUUUCCUCCUCUCUUAAGGGAAAAGAUAGACACAUGAGUGGGAAAAUACAUGAGUGGUUGAAACUGAUGGCAGUUAGGUACAAAGGAAAAAAAGAGGUAGUUGUUUACUUGUACGAGGAUGUGUUCGGUGUGUGGGAAAAUACACGGGUUUGGGAAACUGAUGAUAGUUAGGUACAAAGAAAAAGAAGAGGUAACUGUUUAACUGUAUGUGGAAGUGGAGUGUGACAAAUGCAAUAUGGGAUUUGAGAAAGAGGCCCUUAACGUUAGACAUCAAUCAUUAUAUGUACCAUUCAAUGUGUCUUCUGUUAUUUUUUCUAUUCCGUUUCUUCUUGGCCAUCGUUUUUCUCUGUGCAUUACUGCACUGUAAGAUGCAUUUGUCUCAGCCAUCAUCAGGGAUGAAUUGAAAUUAUGAGCAAUGCAUGUUGUUUGUUAUAUAAUAUAUAUGUAAUGGAACACAUGACUUUCUGCAUAUUGCAUGGUUGCAAGACACUGUGGAUGUUGAUCGAGCCUUGAAUAUGGCAGUUAGGUACACGGUUAGCAUGCAUUGCCGAAACACAUGUUGUCAUAUCUAGCUAGCAAAGAAUUCCUUUACAUUUGAUGGAUAAUUAAUAACUUUUGAGAUUGUUUAACUCUUUUGUUUGUGCUCACGUUGGUUUGGAUUCAAAUGCUUGACAAAAAAAGAUAAUGACAAGAAAAGGAUAAUCAAAAUGGUUUAAGAGAAAUGUGUUUAGUUUAAGAGGAAUGAAUAAAUAAAUAAAAAUAAUUUAUUCAAUUAAAAUAAUUUAUUUUCAAAAUAUAUAGAUCGAUUGUCAAAAUGUAUAAUCAAUUAUUCAAAAAAAAAAUUGAUAAUCAAUUGUAGGACAUGAAAAUCAAUUUUCAAGUUUUCAAAAUCGAUUUUCAUAGAGUGUUUACUGAUAUGGUUGGAGGUAUAUAAUUAAAUUAAAGUAUAAUGGGAUAAUUAAGUAUUAGGUUUCUCUUAAAAUUAUCUCUUUUGUUCUAUUGUGUUUACUAAGCCUAAUUUAACUAAAAAUCCCUUUAGAAGAUCUUCUUGCUUAUUUAUUCAGUAUGAAUCAAUUUAAUAAAAGUAAUAAGGACUCAAGAAUUAUCCGUUUGCAACCCAUCAUAUAACAUGAGAACAUCUAGCCAUAACUCAAACAUCACCACUUAUUUCCACUACCACACAAAUCACACCAUCAUGUGCUUCAAGGAAGUGUAAAAAUGAAUAUGACAGAAGAGAUAUAAGUAAGCAUGUGCCUAUGGCUCAUUUGUAGUCGUAUUGCUACAUACUAUUAGCAUGUCUAAGAUCUAAUGGGGAGUGGAGAAAGUUACGCCAAAAGUAGAGGCAAAGUAGCUUCAAUAAUGUUAUUUCAAUGGGUCAAGGAGGCUGGCUUUUGGACAAGUCAUAGCAUAUUUGAUUUGAAUUAUGGCCAAUUCUACAGUGAUAAUCAACUGUGGUUGGGAUCUGUGCUGAAUUUAUUCAUUAUCAUAGGAUACAAAUAAACAACAAUAAGUUGUAUGCAAGAAUUUCUCAUUUGGAUUUGUUAAUGAUUUCCAAUCAAACUAAUAUGUAAAAAGGACUAAAGGCUACCACUUCAAAAGCAUUAAAAACUAAAUUUUGUUUAUGUUGCAUCCUUUUUCUAAAAGCAAAUUCUUUCAGCUUUUUUUUUCUAGAAUGCGUUAGCAGUGUUUUUUUUUUAAUAAAUAAGAGAUUCAUAAAUCUAUGACGUACUUUGUCCAGCUACCUAUCUAUUACCCUAUAUGAAUCUUGGCAAAGUCUGACUAAAUUCUAUUCAGUCCUACCUAGCCCAUGCAACAGAUGUUGUUAGUUUGAUUUGCGUUCUCAUAGGAGAAGCCUGACAGCCUAAUGUAACAUGUUUGGAUUAGGCCUAUGAAUAUUAUGCAGCACCAUUGGAGUAAAAACUUGCCGAGUGCAAAAAACUAGUUCAGUGGCUAAAGAGAAGUGUUUUAUAAGUGGACUAACAUUCACAAGUGCUUGGAUUAUGAAGAUCUCGAGUUACUAUAGUUGUUCCUUGCUGGCUAGGUCAUAUCACAUUUAGAACAAGAGAGAUGCUAUAACAUAUUUUCUAACUCUCCUUAUUCCUUACACUUGUUGGAAAUUAUAAAAUUAUGUAAAUUGUUAACUCAUUGGCAAGUGCACCAAUUUAUCACAAAUAGUAAAGUUAAAAUGGAAGUACGAGCAUCAAAUCCACAAGGACUUUAUUUGUAUUUAAAUUGAUGCAAACCUAAUUUACAAGUAAGAGAUAAGGAAUUUAAAAUAAAAGAUAAUUAAAGAGAGUUAAAAGAUAAGAUAAAUAUUUAAAUUAAAAGAUGAUAAAGAUAGAAGAUAAAAAUGAUGAUAAUAUGUUCAAAUUCUUAAAGAUAAAUUCAAAAUUUAAAAUAUGUUGGGGCCAAGCAUGCCUAAUCCUUGAUGGUGUUUCUCUAUUUAAUGUUAUUCGAUUUUCACCCAUAUCUAUUAAGAUACUGAACACUGUGAUCCCUCAUGAUGAAGAGCUUAAUUUAUCUAUUCUCUCUCAAAUCUCUUUGCAGAGAUAAAACAAUAAAUUGCAUGUAGUUAGGAUACUCUUUCCCUAGCAAUGAUUUGUUCAGAUGUUCUCUUCCAAUUCUUUAGAAAUUAUCAUUUCCCAAUGUCUAAUCCCUAAACAAAUGCAGGAUGAUCAGACCAUACAAUACAAUAAAACACAAGAAAGAAACAAUAAAAAUUGACAUUGCAUUCAAUAGAUAGUAAGAAAAGAUUAUAUUACAAGGACAUUGGUUUCUCGGCUCCUAACAAUGAAGGUUUAGUCUCUCAUUGCAUUCAAUAGAUAGUAAGGAAAUAGUGUUGCUUGCACUAGUCUUAAAUACAAUAACCACUUUUAACUAAAACUCUCUGUUAUAUACGUCUUAAAAUUUAAAAUUAUAAGAAUAUGAAAAUUAAUAAUUUUUUAAAAUUUAUUUCCUAUCCUUCUUAACUAAAUAAAGUAUCUAAUCAAAAUCUCUUUUCUCUCUUCCAUUGAAAUCACUCACGUUCCCUACUCUCUAUCCAAGCAGUCCCAGAAGCCACUAUUUCAGUUUUAUUUCUUAAUAUAGCAUUGUAAAAAUUAGUAACCAUCUGCCCAAAACCUCAUCAAUUAUAGCAUUCAACGAGAAACUCGUAAUAUAUUUUGGUUGGAUUUUCAAGAUAAAUUUCUCUUAUUCUUAUUUGAAACCGUGAAAAAGAAAGAAAACUCAACAAAAGUCCCACCUAGAAAUGUUUUCCAGCCCCUCACCAUGCCAAAAUAUCCUGGCAGGAAGCGGCAAUAGGGGAAUAUUUUGAGCAAAAAGUCUAUGAUCUUAGUUUCACCUUCUCUCAAAUCUUUUUAUCUCAUUUAUUUAAAACUUCAAAUUUAAGUCUAUUAAUAUUUUUCAUUUGUAUAAAUUUUGAAUGUUUCUAUGUUUAUCUUUAUAAAAAAAUUGAAAUAAUUUUUGUACAAAAGUUAGGAUUAUUGACACCAAGAGAAAAUUCCUUCGGUGCACCAAGUUGUUUAAAGUAAUAAAGUUUGAUGAAGCAUUCUUGGAGUCCAAGUGCGAGUAACAAGUCAAACAUUGGAUAAAAAUAGACAUAUUGUUGAACAACAUAUAAGUGAAAAUGAUUUGUAAAUCGCUUGUUUUAUGGCUUUAGAUUAGAUGUGGUGUCAAAUUGAUUUAUGUAGUUUUCUUGUGGCCCAUCUAUAGAUAUCUCAAUGUUAUUUUACUCAUUAUAUUUCCAAACAAAGGGUAUCGAGGCAAAUGGUGCCCUCAUGGAGGAGCUUCGUUUAUGAAGAAUUUCAGUGUUUUUCUUUUAUUAGCAUAUAUAAAUUCAUAAAUUUCGAUCGAGUUUGAAUUUGUGAGAUUCAGAGUGUUAGUUUUUCAAUGCGAUAGAGAUUAAAUAAUAAUAUGGUAAAACAUGUUUUUGUUCUAUAAAACGUCUGAAGUUUAGUUUUAGUCUAUUAAAAAAUUUGGUUUGUUUUUCGUCCUUCUAAUUUUAUAAUGUAUCAUUUUUAUUCCCUCAAGUAUUAUUUAAACCACUUUUCGUCUCUCUAUAAAGUACUAUCAAAGUCACAUUAAAGAUAAAAAGUGGCGCGCUUCAAUAUUAGAAAGACAAAAAAAUGGACAAAUUUUUAGACGGAAUAAAACCAAACAUUAAAAAUUUGAGAGAUCAAAGACAUAUUCUACAAAAAGAUAAACCACAAAGUGGCAAGGGUCAAAUAAAAAAUAUAAAAACCUUUAUUUCAGGUCAAUUUUACCCAUACCUUACUGGUUUAAAUUACCUUCGAUAUCAAAUCAAUUUUAAUGCUUUGUCAUACAUCACUCAUAAGGUGAUACACCUUACCCUGAACCAUAUAUCUAAUAGCAUUUAUUUUGAAAUAUGAAAAAAAAUAAUUAUAUCUAAUAUUCAUAUUGUUUAAAAUAUUAAAUAUUCGUGCCAGUACACCUAAAGUUUAAGAAGACACAUGUUAAAAAGACAUAUUAGUUUAAAAAGUAAAUUACACUAAUUUAAAGUUUUGUGAAAUUACACAAAUUGCAUUCCAUGUUAGUGUAUUUUACUCUAAUUUAAAAUUACAGUUAGAUGUUUAUGGAGCAUGUGCUAACUUGUCUUAAGGAAAUGUUUGUGUACAAACAAAAGUUGUUCCUUAAUUUUGAACUUUGGAGGUCAUUUUCUAAGUGUACGCAUAUGAAAAAAUAUUUUAAAAAAUUAUACAAAAAUAAUAAUUAUAUAUAAUAAAAUAGAUUAUAUUAAUUAUUUCAUAUUCAAAUAAAAAUUAUUUGUUUAAUCAUUUUCUUAUUGCAGACAUUUAAGAGUGAAUAAAAGUAAGAAAUUUUUUAAUUUGUAACCUGUCUCUAAGACGGGUGCAUAUUGUAGUACCAACUAUAGACCUUAACUCAUACCACAUUUACUAUUGGUAGAACGCAAAUCAAGGUUAUAAAUUGAUGGAUUAGCAUAAAUUUGUCAAAAAAAAGUCAUAAAGGCUAACCAUAUACACUAUGUGGCCUUUACAUUCCUUCUCUCCCUUUCUUAUUUUAGAAAAUAUGAUUUUUAGCAUUUUAACAAACCACAAAUAGCAUUUGAAUGAUUCAACUGUAUUAGGUGUUCAAUAUCAUUUUUUUAAUGUAUAAAUAACACUUUACAUUGCAUCCCCAAACUACAAAAACAUAUUCUUCAAUGGAAUUUGGCAAAAAGUAGCCAUCGCCCCAACGAUCCCAUUUCCCUUGACUUCUCUACGUGAAGAUCCUUGUGUCGCAUAGUACGUGCAUAAAUUACUAUACAAGUUAAUUUGAGGAAUGCAAUAUAUUUAUAUUUUAUGUAAAUGUGACUUUCUUAUUAUUAGAUUUCGAUCUUUUAAAAAAAUAUUGUCUAUAGUUUCUUGAUGACGAUGUUAUAUGCUUUUCGUUAUACCCUAUUACAUGUCACAUCAAAAUGGUUGGUGGUGCGACAUGAGUAGUUGCAUGACAUGUUAUAACCAAGCGACUAUAUAAAGUUUUUUUUUAAAAAAAACAAUUAUAGAGAUGAAAAAAGAAUCAAAAUCAAAUAAGUCAUGUUUAGAGUUUAAAAACAUGUCCAUUCUUAAUUAGUGCAGAGGAAUAUUAUGGUCAUAUUACUUGUCAUAUUAACUAAUUUUACAUAAAUAUUCAUUUAUGACAGGAGCUAGUUAAAAUGUCUGAGGGAAAUGCAGGGAAAGGAAAGAGAAUCGCCAUCAUUGGCGUCUCAGCCUUAUUGUUGGUGGCUAUGGUUGUGGCAAUCACAGUUGGGGUCAAUCUCAAUGAGAAUGGUUCCAACAAUGAUACAGAGGACAACAAGAAAAAUCAUGUUGUUUCUUCUAUAAAAGCCGUCCAAACCCUUUGUCAUCCCACAAAUUAUAAGAAAGAAUGCGAGGAAAGCCUUAUAGCUGGGGCUGGAAAUACCACAGAUCCAAAAGAACUUAUCAAAAUUUUCUUCAACAUCACCAUUACAAAAAUUGGUGAUAAACUCAAAGAAACUAAUAUUUUGCAUGAGGUUGAGGAGGAACCCAGAGCCAAGAUGGCACUUGAAACAUGCAAGCAACUCAUGGAUCUUUCUAUUGGGGAAUUAACAAGGUCACUUGAUGGAAUAGGUGAGUUUAACCUCAUAAAUGUUGACAAAAUCCUCAUGAAUUUAAAAGUUUGGCUUAGUGGCGCGGUUACAUACCAAGAUACUUGCUUGGAUGGGUUUGAGAAC
This 35324-nucleotide long non-coding RNA is filed under the name Glycine max (soybean). Its description in RNAcentral is "long non-coding RNA (GMAX_LNC001397)". The record is from RNAcentral. Lineage: Eukaryota; Viridiplantae; Streptophyta; Magnoliopsida; Fabales; Fabaceae.